RNAcentral lists this ribosomal RNA (253 nucleotides) under uncultured bacterium. RNAcentral describes it as "partial 16S ribosomal RNA". It matches the Rfam family "Bacterial small subunit ribosomal RNA", at positions 524 to 776 of the family's 1533-position model. The record is from RNAcentral.
UACGUAGGGUGCAAGCGUUAAUCGGAUUUACUGGGCGUAAAGCGCGCGUAGGUGGCCAAUUAAGUCAAAUGUGAAAUCCCCGAGCUUAACUUGGGAAUUGCAUUCGAUACUGGUUGGCUAGAGUAUGGGAGAGGAUGGUAGAAUUCCAGGUGUAGCGGUGAAAUGCGUAGAGAUCUGGAGGAAUACCGAUGGCGAAGGCAGCCAUCUGGCCUAAUACUGACACUGAGGUGCGAAAGCAUGGGGAGCAAACAGG